This 265-nucleotide ribosomal RNA is filed under the name uncultured Streptococcaceae bacterium. RNAcentral describes it as "partial 16S ribosomal RNA". It matches the Rfam family "Bacterial small subunit ribosomal RNA", at positions 544 to 809 of the family's 1533-position model. Lineage: Bacteria; Bacillati; Bacillota; Bacilli; Lactobacillales; Streptococcaceae. The record is from RNAcentral.
UCCGGAUUUAUUGGGCGUAAAGCGAGCGCAGGCGGUUAGAUAAGUCUGAAGUUAAAGGCUGUGGCUUAACCAUAGUACGCUUUGGAAACUGUUUAACUUGAGUGCAAGAGGGGAGAGUGGAAUUCCAUGUGUAGCGGUGAAAUGCGUAGAUAUAUGGAGGAACACCGGUGGCGAAAGCGGCUCUCUGGCUUGUAACUGACGCUGAGGCUCGAAAGCGUGGGGAGCAAACAGGAUUAGAUACCCUGGUAGUCAAGGGCGAAUUCGC